AGUGAACGCUGGCGGUAGGCCUAACACAUUCAAGUCGAACGGCAGCACAGUAAGAGCUUGCUCUUACGGGUGGCGAGUGGCGGACGGGUGAGGAAUACAUCGGAAUCUACUUUUUCGUGGGGGAUAACGUAGGGAAACUUACGCUAAUACCGCGUACGACCUACGGGUGAAAGCAGGAGAUCUUCGGACCUUGCGCGAUUGAAUGAGCCGAUGUCGGAUUAGCUAGUUGGCGGGGUAAAGGCCCACCAAGGCGACGAUCCGUAGCUGGUCUGAGAGGAUGAUCAGCCACACUGGAACUGAGACACGGUCCAGACUCCUACGGGAGGCAGCAGUGGGGAAUAUUGGACAAUGGGCGCAAGCCUGAUCCAGCCAUACCGCGUGGGUGAAGAAGGCCUUCGGGUUGUAAAGCCCUUUUGUUGGGAAAGAAAAGCAGCAGGUUAAUACCCCGCUGUUCUGACGGUACCCAAAGAAUAAGCACCGGCUAACUUCGUG
Molecule: ribosomal RNA, 492 nt
Filed under: uncultured bacterium
Lineage: Bacteria
Description: partial 16S ribosomal RNA
Rfam family: Bacterial small subunit ribosomal RNA
Source: RNAcentral